Molecule: long non-coding RNA, 991 nt
Filed under: Callithrix jacchus (white-tufted-ear marmoset)
Lineage: Eukaryota; Metazoa; Chordata; Mammalia; Primates; Cebidae
Description: lncRNA (ENSCJAG00000086186.1)
Source: RNAcentral
CAAUAUCUUGCUGUCACUGACUUCUCUCCUUGGCCUGGAAACUUCCUGAUUUCAUAGGGUGCCACUGACUGCUCUCUCUGCAACUGCAAAAUCUCUCAAAGGGCCCUGUCCAGUUAGGUCACACAGAGCCAGGCUGAUUAUUUAGAGAGCACACAAUGCCCCCUCACAUGGGGCACAGAGAGGAAGGAAUUUUUUUUUAGGCCAAUUCCAGUCCCUGGAGCUGCAAAUUGCCCUCAGGGCAAAGAAGCCUGCAGAAUAAUUGGGAAGAGUCUGGCAGGAGGGAAGCCAAGAUGCCUGUCAUGGAAGGAAACAUGGAAGACUGCAGAGAAGUUCUUAGAAGCAAGUUCUUCUUGGUGGAUGCCUGAGGUCAUUUUGAAUCAGCAUUUCAAGCACCCAAAAUGUGUAGAAGAAUAUGGACCAAAGAAAGGAGCAGAAAGACAAAUAGAGGAAUGGAGAAUUUUGCCUGCGACUAUGAUGUUCUCAAGAAAACACAAGGAAGAAUCUGUGAGAAAAUCACAGAGAUCUAAAGAAGGGGAAAGGAAGAACCUGCAUUUAAGAGAGAAGAGAUUAUCUGACUUGGUAAAUAGGUAUUGAAAACCAGAGUCAGUGUUCCUAAUUGUACUGCCCCAGGAAAAUGCACUGAGAAGAAAUACAGCAAAACACGUGAGAUGGUGAAACACUCUGGCAACUGCAAGCAGACAGAUGGGAUUUGGGAGGUAAUGCAGGGUCACAGGGCAGCUACACCGGAUGUUUGGUUUUCCUCCUAUUCUCCUUUCCCCUCCCUCAACACCAUACACGUAACUACUAGUGAAUCAAUUCAUUUACAUAACCCAGAUAUCUAGGACUGGUUGAGGGGAUUAUCCAAGAGAGUCACAAUUUAUUACCAUUUGUUAUUAAGUACAACCAGAUGAACAGAGAACUGAUUAACUUAACCACUAAACUUUGUGCUUUUCCCCCAAAAUCUAUAGAAUUGAUUUUAAUGGAUUUUGCU